This 22-nucleotide microRNA is filed under the name Sugarcane streak mosaic virus. RNAcentral's name for it is "partial mature miR-16". The record is from RNAcentral. Lineage: Riboviria; Orthornavirae; Pisuviricota; Stelpaviricetes; Patatavirales; Potyviridae.
UGGUUCUCUUGGAUAGGCUGAU